Molecule: ribosomal RNA, 490 nt
Filed under: uncultured bacterium
Lineage: Bacteria
Description: partial 16S ribosomal RNA
Rfam family: Bacterial small subunit ribosomal RNA
Source: RNAcentral
AUUGAACGCUGGCGGCAGGCUUAACACAUGCAAGUCGAGCGGUAGCACAGGGGAGCUUGCUCCCUGGGUGACGAGCGGCGGACGGGUGAGUAAUGUCUGGGAAACUGCCUGAUGGAGGGGGAUAACUACUGGAAACGGUAGCUAAUACCGCAUAACGUCGCAAGACCAAAGAGGGGGACCUUCGGGCCUCUUGCCAUCAGAUGUGCCCAGAUGGGAUUAGCUAGUAGGUGGGGUAAUGGCUCACCUAGGCGACGAUCCCUAGCUGGUCUGAGAGGAUGACCAGCCACACUGGAACUGAGACACGGUCCAGACUCCUACGGGAGGCAGCAGUGGGGAAUAUUGCACAAUGGGCGCAAGCCUGAUGCAGCCAUGCCGCGUGUGUGAAGAAGGCCUUCGGGUUGUAAAGCACUUUCAGCGAGGAGGAAGGUGGUGAGCUUAAUACGUUCAUCAAUUGACGUUACUCGCAGAAGAGGCACCGGCUAACUCCGUG